RNAcentral lists this transfer RNA (88 nucleotides) under Wolbachia endosymbiont of Brugia malayi. Its description in RNAcentral is "tRNA-Leu". It matches the Rfam family "tRNA". From Rfam's summary of the family: Transfer RNA (tRNA) molecules are approximately 80 nucleotides in length. Their secondary structure includes four short double-helical elements and three loops (D, anti-codon, and T loops). Lineage: Bacteria; Pseudomonadati; Pseudomonadota; Alphaproteobacteria; Rickettsiales; Anaplasmataceae. The record is from RNAcentral. RNAcentral also lists the same sequence under 2 other names.
GCCCGGGUGGCGGAAUUGGUAGACGCGCUAGCUUCAGGUGCUAGUAACUUUUCAAGUUGUGGAAGUUCAAGUCUUCUCUCGGGCACCC